UAGGGAAUCUUCCGCAAUGGACGAAAGUCUGACGGAGCAACGCCGCGUGAGUGAAGAAGGAUUUCGGUUCGUAAAACUCUGUUGUUAGGGAAGAAAAAAUGUAUAGUAACUAUAUACAAAAGAGACGGUACCUAACCAGAAAGCCACGGCUAACUACGUGCCAGCAGCCGCGGUAAUACGUAGGUGGCAAGCGUUGUCCGGAAUUAUUGGGCGUAAAGCGCGCGCAGGUGGUUUAGAAAGUCUGAUGUGAAAGCCCACGGCUCAACCGUGGAAGGUCAUUGGAAACUAAUAAACUUGAGUGCAGGAGAGAAAAGUGGAAUUCCUAGUGUAGCGGUGAAAUGCGUAGAGAUUAGGGGGAACACCGGUGGCGAAAGCGGCUUUUUGGCCUGCAACUGACCCUGGGGCGCGAAAGCGUGGGGAGCAAACAGG
RNAcentral lists this ribosomal RNA (429 nucleotides) under Verrucomicrobiota bacterium. RNAcentral describes it as "Verrucomicrobia bacterium partial 16S ribosomal RNA". It matches the Rfam family "Bacterial small subunit ribosomal RNA", at positions 355 to 776 of the family's 1533-position model. The record is from RNAcentral. Lineage: Bacteria; Pseudomonadati; Verrucomicrobiota.